Molecule: unclassified non-coding RNA, 228 nt
Filed under: Hevea brasiliensis (rubber tree)
Lineage: Eukaryota; Viridiplantae; Streptophyta; Magnoliopsida; Malpighiales; Euphorbiaceae
Source: RNAcentral
CCUGGUCGAUGCUCAUCUUGGGUGAAUCAUCAAUGUCGUGCUGGAAAUUCAGCCACUGAACCUUAUAUAGUUGCCCAUCACCUGCUCCUUUCUCAUGCUGCAGCUGUGCAAAUAUAUAGAGAAAAAUACCAAACAACUCAAGAUGGCAAGAUAGGGAUAACACUUUUUACCUUUUGGUAUGAACCUCUAUCUAAUAAAUCAGCAGAUAUAGAAGCAGCCAAAACAGCC